Molecule: non-coding RNA, 296 nt
Organism: Frankia sp.
Lineage: Bacteria; Bacillati; Actinomycetota; Actinomycetes; Frankiales; Frankiaceae
Source: Rfam
CCUCGGGGACCUGCUGCGGGCAGAUGAAGUGCACGUGGGUGUCGACCGCGCCGGCGGUGAGGAUCUUCCCGUUCCCGGCGAUGAUCUCCGUGCUGGGGCCGAUGACCAGAUCCGGGUGGACGCCGUCCAUGAUGUCGGGGUUGCCGGCCUUGCCGAGGGCGACGAUCCGCCCGUCGCGGACGCCGACGUCCGCCUUGACGACACCCCAGUGAUCGAGCACCACCGCGCCGGUGAUCACCAGGUCGGGCGCGCCCUCGGCCCGGGUGGCGCGGGCCUGGCCCAUCGACUCGCGGAUG